Molecule: non-coding RNA, 29 nt
Filed under: Homo sapiens (human)
Lineage: Eukaryota; Metazoa; Chordata; Mammalia; Primates; Hominidae
Source: RNAcentral
GAACCUACUCAGGAUUCACUGGUGCAGUC